This 265-nucleotide ribosomal RNA is filed under the name uncultured bacterium. RNAcentral's name for it is "partial 16S ribosomal RNA". It matches the Rfam family "Bacterial small subunit ribosomal RNA", at positions 355 to 612 of the family's 1533-position model. The record is from RNAcentral.
UGAGGAAUAUUGCGCAAUGGGCGAAAGCCUGACGCAGCGACGCCGCGUGGAGGAUGAAGGUCUUCGGAUUGUAAACUUCUGUUAAGUGGGAAGAAAGAGCUGCUUUUAAUAGAAGCAGUUAAUGACGGUACCAUUAAAGAAAGCACCGGCUAAACUCGUGCCAGCAGCCGCGGUAAUACGAGUGGUGCAAGCGUUAUUCGGAAUAAUUGGGCGUACAGGGUGUGUAGGCGGUAUGUUAAGUCUGUUGUUAAAGACUCCGGCCUAA